This 497-nucleotide ribosomal RNA is filed under the name uncultured bacterium. Its description in RNAcentral is "partial 16S ribosomal RNA". It matches the Rfam family "Bacterial small subunit ribosomal RNA", at positions 28 to 507 of the family's 1533-position model. The record is from RNAcentral.
GAUGAACGCUGGCGGCGUGCCUAAUACAUGCAAGUCGAGCGAACGGACGAGAAGCUUGCUUCUCUGAUGUUAGCGGCGGACGGGUGAGUAACACGUGGAUAACCUACCUAUAAGACUGGGAUAACUUCGGGAAACCGGAGCUAAUACCGGAUAAUAUUUUGAACCGCAUGGUUCAAAAGUGAAAGACGGUCUUGCUGUCACUUAUAGAUGGAUCCGCGCUGCAUUAGCUAGUUGGUAAGGUAACGGCUUACCAAGGCAACGAUGCAUAGCCGACCUGAGAGGGUGAUCGGCCCCACUGGAACUGAGCCGCGGUCCAGACUCCUACGGGCGGCAGCAGUAGGGACUCUUCCGCAAUGGGCGAAAGCCUGACGGAGCAACGCCGCGUGAGUGAUGAAGGUCUUCGGAUCGUAAAACUCUGUUAUUAGUGAAGAACAUAUGUGUAAGUAACUGUGCACAUCUUGACGGUACCUAAUCAGAAAGCCACGGCUAACUACGUG